CAGCAGCCGCGGGAAUACGUAGGUGGCAAGCGUUGUCCGGAAUUAUUGGGCGUAAAGGGCUCGCAGGCGGUUUCUUAAGCCUGAUGUGAAAGCCCCCGGCUCAACCGGGGAGGGUCAUUGGAAACUGGGAAACUUGAGUGCAGAAGAGGAGAGUGGAAUUCCACGUGUAGCGGUGAAAUGCGUAGAGAUGUGGAGGAACACCAGUGGCGAAGGCGACUCUCUGGUCUGUAACUGACGCUGAGGAGCGAAAGCGUGGGGAGCGAACAGGAUUAGAUACCCCGGUAGUCCCUGUCUCUUAUAC
RNAcentral lists this ribosomal RNA (301 nucleotides) under uncultured bacterium. RNAcentral describes it as "partial 16S ribosomal RNA". It matches the Rfam family "Bacterial small subunit ribosomal RNA", at positions 509 to 807 of the family's 1533-position model. The record is from RNAcentral.